GUCGCUGCCCGGGCGGAGGAAGCGGCCGGAGCCGAGCCCGGCGAUGGCUGCAGCGGGGCCGGCGCAGCAGCUCCAGGUGGCGUUUGAGGACGUCGCUCUGUAUUUCACCCGGGAGGAGUGGGAGCUCCUAUCCCAGCCAGAGCAGCAGCUGUACCGGGACCAGAUGCUGAGGAAUUACUGGACCCUAAUUUCCCUGGGCUAUUCAGAUUCAACACCGAACUUAAUUCAACGGAUCGAGUUAGGGGAGGCAGAGCUAUGGAUCAGGGAGGCUGAGGACUCCAGGGAAAACUCAGGACCUGAGAGCCCCUCCUCAGCAGGGCUUGGGAUCCUGGGAGGAACGAGCACAUGGUCUGGCUGUGGCAGGAGCUUCCGCCAGUCCUCAGUCCUGAAAAUACACCCACGUACACACAAUGGAGAGCAGCUAUACUGCUGUGCUGACUACGGGAAGGGCUUUGCAUGGAGCUCAAAUGUGAGAACACACCAGCGCGCACACACUGGUGACCGUCCGCACCGCUGUGCUGACUGCACCAAGGGCUUUGCAGAGAGGUCACACCUGAGAAUACACCAACGCACACACACGGGAGAGCGGCCGUACCACUGUGCUGACUGUGACAAAGGCUUUGCAGAGAGCUCAAGCCUAAAAAGACACCAGCGCACACACACCGGUGAGCGGCCGUACCACUGUGCUGACUGCGGAAAGUGCUUUGCACAGAGCUCAAUCCUGAGAAGACACCGGCGCACACAUACCGGGGAGCGGCCGUACCACUGUGCUGACUGUGGCAAGGGCUUUGCACAGAGUUCAAGCCUGAGAAGACACCAGCGCACACACACCGGGGAGCGGCCGUACAGCUGUGCUGACUGUGGCAAGAGUUUUGCAGAGAGCUCAAACUUGAGAACACACCAACACACACACAGCGGGCAGCCACCGCACCGCUGUGAUGUUUGUAGCAAGAACUUCAGCAGCACCAAUGCACUAGCCAAACACCAGCGCACACACAGCGGGGAGAGGCCUUUCCAAUGCACUGACUGCGGCAAGAGCUUUGCAGAGAGCUCAAGCCUGAGACGACACCAGCGUGCACACACCGGGGAGCGGCCAUACAGCUGUGCUGAGUGUGGCAAGCGGUUUGGUAGAUUGGCCAACCUCAUCCGGCACCAGGUCACUCACACCAACGCCCCUCUGCCAUCGCCAGGGCCUGGGGGGCUUCUGGCAGCCAGUGGGCCUGACAUAGCACCAGCAGAUGUAGACCAGCGAGUGGUCUUGUCCCCCUGAUGACCAGCAGAGCCUGUGUGGGGCGGGGAAGGGAACUUGGCUGAGCACUGUGGGGAAGAGCAGACCGGUCCGGGUAGUAAUUUAGAGAUUGUCACAGCCUACUUCAUUAGGGAGCUCCCCCCUUGCCCCCCAUGUAGGUGGGAUCCAACUAUGUCUGUCCCACACACACUCAUGCAUCUAGCAGGGAUGCAGCCAAAACAACCCCCUCCAUCUAGAUGGGACCCAGCCAGGAACUUUUCCCCCCGCCUACCUUGUUUCCAGCCAGCAGGUGACUCUUGGGUGACAUCUAGAGGUGGGAUUUGCAGUCCUGUGGGGCUGGGCAGGACAGGACUGCCUGGUCCAUGUAAUUGAAAGAAGACUCAGGAACUGCUCAUACCGUCUAUUUUAAAUAGAAAUGUGAUGAAGAACUACAUACCUAAUGUGUAACACAGGUCUGCCUAGCCAGGUGUUUCUUUGCUAUUAAAGAAGCAGAUGGUUCACAUGGCAUGUGGAGAAGCCUGUGUGAAGUGUAAAUCUUUAAAGUGAACCAGUGAAAAUGUUCUAAGCCCUAACUGUCUGUAAGGCGGUCGCGGCUUCCUCCCUGUCCAUCAGGAGGCUGUGCAGUCCCAGCUGUGCUUGAGCCUUAGGAACUGGGAUACCUACAGGCAGAUUUCUUGAGGCCGGUGAUCGGGACAUGCUGCAGUGCAGAGCGGAGAUAGAGGAGAUAAGGCAGGCGCACCAUAACGCGAGGGAGGUGAACUCCCAUUCAGGUGCUUCACCUAAGACUUGCUGGUUCUAUAAGGAGCAACCCCUCCUCCAUUAGCAAGAGCCCCAUGGACACUUCAGAGGGCCUGGGGCGGCAGAAAGAGGACCUAAGCCAGAGGAUGAAGUUAUUGAUGAAGAGUGGAGUUAGAUGAGGAUGUGCAGCUCCUGGCAGGGUCGCCCAGUGGGGCAGGAAACCCCUCCACUCCAGAGGUGUCUAGCUAGACUCAGCAGUGGCUCUCACAGAAGCAAGAAGCAGGAGAUGAGAUGCCUGAUGUGGCCUUCAGGGACACCCCACGCAUGCUGGCCGAGCGUCUCUGCCAGAUAAGAAAGCACCCAAGACACAGCAAAAAAGACGUGUUCCGGGAGGUCUGGCAGCGCUCCAAUGCAGAAAAAAGGGAACACAAGGAGUGCUGGGAAGCCAAAUGGCAGGACAGAAAAGAGAAUCACACCUUUAUUAAGGACGCAAUUGAGCAACUGAUUAAAGUAAUGGAGGAGCAAAUACAGAUGCUGAAGUCCUUAAUAAUGCUGCAGACUGAGGCCUUGCGUACACUCAGGGGAAAUUCGAUCUAAGCUACGCAAUUUGAGUUACGUGAAUAGUGUAACUCAAAUCGACAUAGCUUAGAUCUACUUACCAAGGGGUCUACACUACGUGAUUUCGACGGGAGACAUUCUCCUGUCGACUCCCCCUAUUCCUCUCGAUCCAGUGGAGUAUAGGAGUUGAUGGGAGAGCGAUCUGCGGUCAAUUUAGCGGGUCUUUACUAGAGCCACUAAAUUGACCGAUGAUGCAUCCCCGUAAGUGUAGACAAGCCCUGAGCAAAUCAGUGUUCGACCUCCACUGCAGCACAUUCAGAACCCUUUCUCAUGCCCCCCACAAAUUUCUUUCUGCUUUCCAGCACUUCUGUGUGUCCCAUUCACUCCACCCCCUCAGACAACUUUCACAAGGCUAGCUGGACCUACACACAGUUGUGAAAGUCAGCCCUUCCCUGGUUCCUCCUUUCCCGCCAAGCAUCUGUGUGUUUGUGUGUGCUGUUUCUUGUGCAAUAAAAGCAGAGUUUUAUAAUGGUAAAUCAUCUUUUUGUUUUUUUUCUACAAGGUGAGAUUGCAGGCACUACCAAUACAUGCACAGGCAUUUUAAUCACUUUCUUACUGGACUAUAAGGCCCCAAAUGUCACCAUUACCUUCUAGGAAAACCAAAUGUAAUGUAACAUUGGAGCAUCUCUGACAGAGAUAUGUUACUGAUGCUUAUUGUCCAAGUGCUGUCUCAAAGCCUCCCUGAUUAAAAUAGGCCCCUCUGGGCUCCUCUAACAGCCCUAGUAUCUAGCUGCUCAAAAUCAGCUGCCAACCAGUCUGCCUCAGCACUCCACCCCUGAGCAAACCUUUCACCCUUAGCUUCACAGAGAUUAUGCAAUGUACAGCAUGUGGCUAUGACCAUGGGAAUAUUAUCCUCAGUGAGGUCUAACCUGCUAUAAAGGCAUCGCCAAUGCACCUUUAAUUUGCCAAAGGCACAUUCAACCGUCAUCUGGCACCUACUGAACCUGUUGUUGAACUGCCCUUACUGCUGUCCAGGUGUCCCAUGUAAGGUUUCAUAAACCAAGGCUGUAAGGGGUAUGCAGGGUCCCCCAGGAUCACUAUGGGCAUUUUAACAUCCUCCACUGUGAUCUGGUUAGGAAAAAAAAGUCUUUGCCUGCAGCUUUCUGUAUAGGCAGGUGUUCCAGAAGAUGCUUGUCAUACACCUUCCUAGACCACCCCUUGUUGAUGUCAGUGAAACACCCAUGGUGAUCCACAAGAGUCUGCAACACCAUGGGGAAGUACCCCUUCCUAGUGAUGUGGUCUGGUGCCAAAAUGAAUGUGUGCAGAGCUGUCCACUAUUUCAUGCACAUUUCCCAGAGUCAGGGGCCUUCGUAGCAGGAUGCGAGUUAUUGCCCUGCACCCUUGCAUUAAUGCCGCCCCAACAGUUGACUUCCCCACUCCAAAUUGAUUCACGACCGACUGAGUAGCAGUCUGGAGUCAUUAGCUUCCACACACAGAUUGCCACAUGCUUCUCUAUUGAGAGGGCAGUUCUCAUUCUGGUGUCCUUGUGCUGCAGGGCUGGGGUGAGCUCCGCGCACAGUUCUCUGUGCAUUCACAGCUUUCUGCAUCCAAAAGUUCUGUACCCACUGGUUGUCGUCCCACAUCUGCAUGACGAUACGGUCUCACCAGUGCUUGUGUCCUGAGCCCAAAAGUGACGGUCUACCCUAUGUACCUGCUCUAUGAAUGCCAAAAGCAAUCUAAAGUUGCUCCUAUCCCUGUCACGCAGAAUGUUGGAUGCCUGCAAGUCUUCCUCAGUUAGGAACUUCACUGCUGUCCGCAAUGUCUUCAUGGCAGAUAACGGAGCAAGUGUGAACAUGCAGUUGCGACUUUUAUGAUGUCAAUUUUUGGGUGUUGACAUCACUUUUGUCAGCACAAAUUGGUAGUGUGGACAGAGCCUUAAUGACAGGCCAGCUUUCAGACCUAGCAGCAGAGGCUUAUAGGCCCAGUGCCCUCAAUCAAGGCAGGACAGAAAACAGUUCAUGGCCCUGGUCUGCGCUAAGGCAGAGCAACACAACAGUGUAGGGGGAAUCAGCUUCCUGGCAGAACAGUCAGCAAAACCAUCUGGUGUCCUAGUUCAAGUGGGCAAUAAACCAGUGAAGGCUUCUUGGCCUGAAGGUGGGGAGGCUGCCAGGGAUGGAGUGGCAGGGGGACGCAGACCCACCCACUCCACUGUGUCCCAGCCCAGGGCCCUAACAGUGGCGGAGUGGUCCUAUUCGGCUUUCCAGGGCUCCUUCCUACUCUCCCAGUCAGGGGGCAGUGGGGUUCUGGGGUUGUCAUUCAUCUCGCUGGGGUAAACGGCAAGUGGCAGCCCCAACAGCUCCUCAAUGUCCCCAGUGUCUGGCAGCUCUGGCAGUCCCUCCAGGCUCUGGCACUGUAGCAGCCUCCAUCAGGUCCAGGCUCCAGCAGUGCGGGUCAGACGUCCUGCUCCUCUAGCAGCUCUCCCCCAACUGAGCUGGAGGCCUGCCAUUUCCGGUCACUGUCCCGGCCCCCUGCUUCCAAUGGGGCGCCCGCGCAUGUCCCAGCUCUGCCCAUCAGGGGGCGGUCGUGGUCUCUCCUUGUCCAUCAGGGUUGGAGACCACACACCCUCUCACUACAACCCUUCCUCAAGUCCAGCCCCAACCCACUCUCCAGGGUUGGUAUGGUCCCCCUUCCCCAACCGGAAGAGACCAUCAGCAUUUGCAUUCUCCUUACCUGCCCUAUGUUGCAAGGUAAAUGCCAACUGUCAAAGGGGGAGGUACCACCUUAUUAGCCUCCCGUUAGUGCCUUUCAUGGUCUGGAGCUACUUCGUUGUUGUCACGGAUCAUACCCUUCCACACGGAGUCCCGCAGGAGGUAAUAUGAAAGGGCCUCCCCAGCCCAUUUAACUGCCAGGGCCGCCUCCUCGAUGAUCGAAUAGUUGCAUUCCCAGGGGAAGAGCUUUCAGCCAAUGUACAAGACGGGAUGGUCUUCUCUGUCGAGGGUCUGAGAGAGGAUGGCCCCAAGUCCCACUGCCACGGCAUC
Molecule: RNA transcript, 5583 nt
Organism: Gopherus evgoodei (Goodes thornscrub tortoise)
Lineage: Eukaryota; Metazoa; Chordata; Testudines; Testudinidae
Gene name: oocyte zinc finger protein XlCOF6.1-like
Exons: 5
Source: RefSeq, a predicted model, not a curated record